Canis lupus familiaris (dog) is the source of this 394-nucleotide long non-coding RNA. RefSeq lists it as uncharacterized. The transcript is spliced from 2 exons. The record is from RefSeq and is a predicted model, not a curated record. Lineage: Eukaryota; Metazoa; Chordata; Mammalia; Carnivora; Canidae.
UGUCUAGGAUGAGAGAAGGAGUCUGUGGUGGGUCAGACAAGGAAGUCAGGGACACAUGAGGACACAGGGGCCCAGGCCGAGAGCUGGGGCAGCAGGAGAUGGACAUGGGGGUGGGACGUCCCCUCAGCUCCUGGUACACCCUGGUGGGUGGUGCUGAAGGGGAGUGGGUGUACGUAUGUGACAUUGGAGCCUCGAGAAGUGUCCAAAUGCCAGGCAGCGCUGUUCAUGGACUCAGCGUGUAAUGAUCCCUCCCAGAAAAUCAUAAUCCAUCAAUCUCUCCUCUCAAGACCAUCAAUCAAUGUUCCAGAAUCCACGGCUGCGUUCUCAUUCCAGGAGUUUUCAAUCACUUCUCUUUUCCCCCGUGUGCGCAGAACAAUGCAGUGACACUAGGAAA